Molecule: long non-coding RNA, 880 nt
Organism: Wasmannia auropunctata (little fire ant)
Lineage: Eukaryota; Metazoa; Arthropoda; Insecta; Hymenoptera; Formicidae
Exons: 3
Source: RefSeq, a predicted model, not a curated record
CCAAAGAAUAUCAAUAUAAAAUUGUUGAAUUCAUAAACGAAAAGGAAGAUGAUAUCUUUCGAUUGUGUCCCAUCCAAAUGGGUAACGUACGACGUCAAAAUUCACGUUCUUGCGUAUGUAAGUUUAUGUCUCCUCCAUAUAACACAAAAACACGGGCUAAAUUAGAUAGUUUGGUUAUGGCUAAAUCUAAGGCACUAGAAUCGUGGCCGUUAUAUCCAGUAUAUUUGAGAGGUGAAGCAGACACAUUAGAAGAAGCAAAACAAAAAAUGCAUAAAAUUAUUAACAAAAAGCAAUUGAGCUCUACUGAUAAUGCUAAAGAAAAGUCGAUACGUACCGCAAAAUUUAUUUAAAAAAAGAAACAAAAAUUAAUCAAAAAGACACUGUUGAAAAAAUUAUGUAUGACAGUGACCUUGAAGGGUCAUGUAAUUCUUUAGAAGACAGUAGUUCUUCUCUGACAUUUUCAAGUAAUCACAGUAUGGAAAAUGAGAAACAAGAUUUAUUGAGAAAUGAGAUCUCGAAAAAAAUUGAUAUUCAAGCAAACGAAAAACAAAUAGCGACAACAUUGACAAGAGAAUGUAGUUCAAAAGAUGCUGUUAAGUCAUCAGACAAUUUUCCGCAAUCACCUACGAAUACUAAAUUAAAUAACACAGCCAUCACUCCUGAUAAAAAUAUGCAAGCAGAAAAUCAGGACGCUGAAUUUUCAAAAGGCAUACAGAUUAUUUUUUAAAUUAUGAGAUUUUACAUUACAAGCAUGUAUUUCAAUUAAUCAUGAUUAUUAAUAAAUUUUUAGGAAUUCUUUUGCUUCAUAAAGCAAUAAAAUCUUUAACUGUCGAAAUAUCAAUGUAAAAUCACCUAAUAAGACAAUUAAAAAAUUCUAUUG